RNAcentral lists this ribosomal RNA (365 nucleotides) under uncultured eukaryote. RNAcentral describes it as "partial 18S ribosomal RNA". It matches the Rfam family "Eukaryotic small subunit ribosomal RNA", at positions 592 to 976 of the family's 1831-position model. The record is from RNAcentral.
CAAUAGCGUAUAUUAACGUUGUUGCAGUUAAAAAGCUCGUAGUUGGAUUUCUGGAGGGAGCGUCGGCCCGUAUUUACGAGUGCGUGACGUCUCUGUCCAUCCUUGCGGGAAGGCACGGCAUUGAUUUGUUGUGUCGGAUCGCAUCAUUUACUGUGAAAAAAUUAGAGUGUUCAAAGCAGGCUUUCGCUUGAAUACAUUAGCAUGGAAUAAUAAGAUAGGACUUUGGUGCUAUUUUGUUGGUUGAGCCUAAAGUAUGAUUAAUAGGGAUAGUUGGGGGCACCUGUAUUGCGUUGUCAGAGGUGAAAUUCUUGGAUUUACGCAAGACAAACAGCUGCGAAAGCGUCUGCCAAGGAUGUUUUCAUUAA